This is a long non-coding RNA of Pelobates fuscus (common spadefoot toad), 1527 nucleotides long. RefSeq lists it as uncharacterized. The transcript has 3 exons. NCBI's taxonomy places the organism in Eukaryota, Metazoa, Chordata, Amphibia, Anura, Pelobatidae. The record is from RefSeq and is a predicted model, not a curated record.
GCUAACAAAUAGGCUAGAAUUUUAUAUUAAUUUUGAAUGUCCAAUUUAGCUGUAAAAAUGAACUUCUUAAAGUGCAAUCUUAAGAACUUGGCAAUGUAAUGCUGGUGGCCAUUGAUGAAAAUGAUUCUGCCAUAUGAGUAAAACUGAUUAUACUCCAACCGUUCCACUUUUUUCUGAGGUACCCAGCCUAAAUAUAACUGCACUUAAAGGAGCUAUGAUAGUAACUUAUUUAUGGUAAUAGAUUUUCUAAAAGGAGAUCUGACUAUGCUGCUUGCCAUUCUAAAGUCUGCCAAAGCAUCAUAUGAAAUUGUCACUCUUAAACAUGAGUGAUACCUGGUGUAAUGACUUCUAUGCAUUAACAUACUCUCUCCUUGCAGGUUGUGAAUGGCUUGUUUCUGCAAAUUGGUAAGUAAAGUCUGUCACUAUAUUAAAGUUUAGAUCUCUGAAUCUGGAAUCUUUAAUGAAAAGCACAAGGGCAGAUCUUCUUAGAAAUGCCCAUUGCAGGCAAGAAAUUAGUUCAAUGCCUUAAACUGGCUUUUAAAAAUAGCUAGAUGACAUGGUAGAACAAGCAAUGCUCAUUUUAAUCUUCCCCUGCUUGGCAUCAUGACGGAGCAUGCAUCUUAACAGAGCAUAUACUGAUAUCAAAGAUGGCACUUCAGGCGUUUUAACCUUGACUAGUAUGCAGCAUGCAUGGUGCACUUCUAGGAAGCUCUGCCCUUAGUCAGAACGCUAAAGUGCCUGCCUAUGAUGUUUUCAAGAGUAGUGGACAGAAUUGAUUUCUGACAAUUUUUAUUAACACUGAGGCUUUGCACUUGACCCAGUACUAGAAGGCCCAAUAUUGGCAUUCUUGGACAGAUUAUUUAAAUUAUGUGCUUCUUUGCUCCAUAUAUUAACUAAAUUAUUACCUUUUUAAAGGUGAACCAGUCUGCUGGACUGAAGCAAAACAAAGCCUCUGGAAUAACCAGGCUACACUCCAAACCUUGCUGGGACAUGUGAAACUUUCUGAGGGCUUCAAUAACACUGAUGGCUGUCUUACACCACUUUACAUUUAAAAUGCCACUUUAAGAUCAGAGACAAGCGGCCAGGCUGAAGUUGCAAUUACAAUUGGCUGAGCCAUGAAUAUUCUUGGCCCCUUUGUGAUAACAUGGAUUUUGGCACAUCUCUCUAUCAGUUGUCUGAAUUAGGUAAGUAGACUGUCUACCCUAUAUGUAACUUGGGGUACAUGAUGACAUCUACUUUGAACUCUCUCACUGAGAUUCAGAUGAAAACAAAAGUACUGAUCCCCUAGUACAUUGAGCAGCUUCCACUGUAUUUCAACACAAACUUCUUUUUAUUUUUAAAUAUUCUUUUCCCCACAGAUCUGAGACUUCAUAUUCAAGGUGAUCUCCAAAAGCAACUGACCAUUUCAUGUAAAGAGAACUGGUGUUAAGCAGUGACUAGGACAAUUCUCAAUUUGUAAUGUUUCCCUGAAGAGGUUAAAAUAUCUCUGCUUCAUGGCUUGUGUGCAAAGUAAUGCUCUUUGCAAAG